GGUGAAAAGCACCCCGGAAGGGGAGUGAAAUAGAACCUGAAACCGUGUGCUUACAAGUAGUCAGAGCCCGUUAAUGGGUGAUGGCGUGCCUUUUGUAGAAUGAACCGGCGAGUUACGAUUUGAUGCAAGGUUAAGCAGUAAAUGUGGAGCCGUAGCGAAAGCGAGUCUGAAUAGGGCGUUUAGUAUUUGGUCGUAGACCCGAAACCAGGUGAUCUACCCUUGGUCAGGUUGAAGUUCAGGUAACACUGAAUGGAGGACCGAACCGACUUACGUUGAAAAGUGAGCGGAUGAACUGAGGGUAGCGGAGAAAUUCCAAUCGAACCUGGAGAUAGCUGGUUCUCUCCGAAAUAGCUUUAGGGCUAGCCUCAAGUGAUGAUUAUUGGAGGUAGAGCACUGUUUGGACGAGGGGCCCCUCUCGGGUUACCGAAUUCAGACAAACUCCGAAUGCCAAUUAAUUUAACUUGGGA
Molecule: ribosomal RNA, 467 nt
Filed under: Staphylococcus aureus
Lineage: Bacteria; Bacillati; Bacillota; Bacilli; Caryophanales; Staphylococcaceae
Description: partial 23S ribosomal RNA
Rfam family: Bacterial large subunit ribosomal RNA
Source: RNAcentral